RNAcentral lists this ribosomal RNA (439 nucleotides) under uncultured bacterium. RNAcentral's name for it is "partial 16S ribosomal RNA". It matches the Rfam family "Bacterial small subunit ribosomal RNA", at positions 339 to 795 of the family's 1533-position model. The record is from RNAcentral.
CUACGGGUGGCACCAGUGAGGAAUAUUGCACAAUGGGGGGAACCCUGAUGCAGCAACGCCGCGUGGAGGAUGACACAUUUCGGUGUGUAAACUCCUUUUAUAUGUCAAGAAAAUGACGGUAGCAUAUGAAUAAGCACCGGCUAACUCCGUGCCAGCAGCCGCGGUAAUACGGAGGGUGCAAGCGUUACUCGGAAUCACUGGGCGUAAAGGACGCGUAGGCGGGUUGGAAAGUCAGGUGUGAAAUCCUACAGCUUAACUGUAGAACUGCACUUGAAACUUCUAAUCUAGAGUAUGGGAGGGGGAGAUGGAAUUAGUGGUGUAGGGGUAAUAUCCGUAGAUAUCACUAGGAAUACCUAAAGCGAAGGCGAUCUCCUGGAACAUUACUGACGCUAAGGCGUGAAAGCGUGGGGAGCAAACAGGAUUAGAUACCCGGGUAGUC